AACUGUUCGUGUGCUGUACAAAUGAUGUGGAAUGAAGCUAAAUUUCAAACCUGUGAAGGAUUUAGUGGAGCAGAAUUAGCGUUCUCCGGCCAGUCCUCCUGCCUGGAGUCAGGUGCUGAUGUACCUGUAUAGCUGUCUCAGGUGAGACGCCAGUGGCGAAGCAGAGAUGGAUGAAGCUCUAGUGCAAAUGUCAGACAUCCCCAAACUGAGUCCCGUCUUGCAGCAGAAUGUGCUCACAGCUUACAGCCGUCAGAAGGAAGAAGUGCCCCAGAGACCACCUCCCGGCCACGAAAAAUAAAAACCCAACAACAACAGAACACGGGAAAAAAUACACACACUCAUUUGCUGGAAUGGCAUUCAUUUGUCGAUCUCAUCUUGACCUCUUUGGGGAGGCUAAAGGACGUUCAGUGACUGUGAAGUGCACAGACUUUUGUAUAUUAUCCUCAGAUGAACUUUUUCGAUGUUCCAUUGACAACAUCUGCAUUUCAGCCAAGCUGAGUGGCCCUCCAUUUUUCUUUAUGCAAAGACCUCGUUUAUUUGUCCAGGAUUUGGCACCCACACUUAAUCACAGAAUAAGUGAGAAAAAGCAGUUGCUCUUCCUGCUUCUGUGA
This 611-nucleotide long non-coding RNA is filed under the name Anser brachyrhynchus (Pink-footed goose). Its description in RNAcentral is "lncRNA (ENSABRG00000022901.1)". Lineage: Eukaryota; Metazoa; Chordata; Aves; Anseriformes; Anatidae. The record is from RNAcentral.